Molecule: ribosomal RNA, 497 nt
Filed under: uncultured bacterium
Lineage: Bacteria
Description: partial 16S ribosomal RNA
Rfam family: Bacterial small subunit ribosomal RNA
Source: RNAcentral
GAUGAACGCUGGCGGCGUGCCUAAUACAUGCAAGUCGAGCGAACGGACGAGACGCUUGCUUCUCUGAUGUUAGCGGCGGACGGGUGAGUAACACGUGGAUAACCUACCUAUAAGACUGAGAUAACUUCGGGAAACCGUAGCUAAUACCGGAUAAUAUUUUGAACCGCAUUGGUCAAAAGUGAAAGACGGUCUUGCUGUCACUUAUAGGUGUAUCCGCGCUGCAUUAGCGAAUUGGUAAGGUAACGGCUUACCAAGGCAACGAUGCAUAGCCGACCUGAGAGGGUGGUCGGCCACACUGGAUCUGCGACACGGUCCAGACUCCGACGGGAGGCAGCAGUAGGGAAUCUUCCGCAAUGGGCGAAAGCCUGCCGGAGCAACGCCGCGUGAGUGAUGACGGCCUUCGGAUCGUAAAACUCUGUUAUUAGUGAAGAACAUAUGUGUAAGUAACUGUGCACAUCUUGACGGUACCUAAUCAGAAAGCCCCGGCUAACUACGUG